RNAcentral lists this ribosomal RNA (251 nucleotides) under uncultured bacterium. RNAcentral describes it as "partial 16S ribosomal RNA". It matches the Rfam family "Bacterial small subunit ribosomal RNA", at positions 525 to 775 of the family's 1533-position model. The record is from RNAcentral.
ACGGAGGAUCCAAGCGUUAUCCGGAUUUAUUGGGUUUAAAGGGAGCGUAGGCGGUUUGGAAAGUUAGAGGUGAAAUCCCGUGGCUCAACCACGGAACUGCCUCUGAUACUGCCAGGCUAGAGAAUGGUUGCUGUGGGCGGAAUGUGUGGUGUAGCGGUGAAAUGCUUAGAGAUCACACAGAACACCGAUUGCGAAGGCAGCUCACAAAUCCAUAUCUGACGCUGAGGAAAGAAAGCGUGGGGAGCAAACAG